RNAcentral lists this ribosomal RNA (744 nucleotides) under Triticum aestivum (bread wheat). RNAcentral describes it as "partial small subunit ribosomal RNA". The record is from RNAcentral. Lineage: Eukaryota; Viridiplantae; Streptophyta; Magnoliopsida; Poales; Poaceae.
AUGGUGGAACCAGUGGCGGUGGCGCUCGUGGCAAUAGGGGUCACCGCGGUGGCGGCUUUGGCUGAACUCGCUCGGACGCCCCACGCUGUCAGAUCUGUGGCAAACCAGGCCACACCGCCAGGGACUACUGGUACCGCUACGAUGAAGACGAGGACGACGCUCAAGAUGAUGACAAGAUUGCUGCGGCGGCGGAUGGAUCCUACGGCAUCGACACCAACUGGUACCUCGACAACGGCGCCACCAAUCACGUCACUGGAGAGCUCAAGAAGGCGACCCUCCGUGAGAAGUACCACGGCAAGGAUCAAAUUCACACUGCCGAUGGUGCAGGAUCUGGCCACGAGGAAAACCCUCUAUCGAGGUAGAUGCGUCCGAGGACUCUACCCGUUCCUUCCGGAGUUUAGAAGACAUAAUAAACAAGCCUAUGGUGUUGUCAAGCUUUCUUCAACACGGUGGCACGAUUGUCUAGGACAUGCUUCAUUUUCUUUAGUUGAACGCUUGCUUAGGAAAAAUAAGCUCCCGUUUGUUGGUGAGCCUCAUGUUGGAACUAUUUGUGAUUCAUGCCAAAGAGCAAAAAGUCAUCAAUUGCCUUAUCCAGUUUCUACCAACGUUUCUACUCAACCACUUCAGUUAAUUUUCUCAGAUGUUUGGGGUCCUGCCCCUAGCUCAGUUGGCAGACACACAUAUUACGUUAGUUUCAUUGAUGACUAUAGCAAGUUCUCUUGGAUCUAUCUUCUUAAGAAAUGA